UAACGGCUUACCAAGGCGAUGAUGCAUAGCCGAGUUGAGAGACUGAUCGGCCACAUUGGGACUGAGACACGGACCCAAACUCCUACGGGAGGCAGCAGGUAGGAAUUUUCCACAAUGGACGCAAGUCUGAUGGAGCAACGCCGCGUGAGUGAAGAAGGUUUUCGGAUCGUAAAGCUCUGUUGUUGGUGAAGAAGGAUAGAGGUAGUAACUGGCCUUUAUUUGACGGUAAUCAACCAGAAAGUCACGGGCUAACUACGUGCCAGCAGCCGCGGUAAAU
Molecule: ribosomal RNA, 277 nt
Filed under: uncultured Lactobacillus sp.
Lineage: Bacteria; Bacillati; Bacillota; Bacilli; Lactobacillales; Lactobacillaceae
Description: partial 16S ribosomal RNA
Rfam family: Bacterial small subunit ribosomal RNA
Source: RNAcentral